UGGAUAUCUGGCUUAUGGCUUUGAAAGGGGACCGACGCAGCUCACCUCCCUGACCUGUGACUCACCUUUGAGGGCACAUACCGCUGAGGGCUGAGUGAGUAACAGGCCUAAGGGAAACCCACACACCCUGCCUCCCCCAGCCCAUGAAGCCCACGAGGAUGGGGAGUGUGUCCAUCUUAUUCCCUGCUGUGUCCUCAGGGCCCAGAUGGAGUCCAGCCCAGUUGGUGCCCAGAGAGCAUGUGUGCUGGCAAAGGACUGGGUUGGUAAAGGCUUACUAUCAGUUACUGUGUGUAUGUCGUGUGGGUUCCUGUGUGCCCACCAGUCAGUUCCCCUCUUCCUCCCUGACCAGUGCCAGUAGGCGUGUCCCUUUCACCAGCCCAGAACCGCCCAGGGGUGACUGCAGUCACCAGAGGAUAUUUAGCAUCUGUUAGGCUGGCUCUCUGACCCAAGUCAGAGGGGCCUGAUGACAUGCCCUCCACUGAUCCUGUUCUAAGCAGGCAUCACUCACUCACUUGAUAGGGAAAUGUGAGAAUGAGAUUGAAGCUGACUGGGACUUCCCUGGAGGUCCACUGGUUAAGAUUCAUGCUUCCAAUGCAAGGGCUGUGUUCGAUCCCUGGAUGGGAACUAAGAUACCAUGUGCCAUAUAAUGUGGCUAAAAACAAAAAAAAAAUUGAAGCAGAAAACUCUCAGGGGUCAGAGGUAGCUGGUAGCCCCUUUUCGGGCAAGAGCCAGACCCUGAUUUGGGCUGAGGCAAGGGGGAAGGGGAUAGGACCCUGUUGGCCAGGCCAGUAGCUCUAGAGACCUUAGCAAGCAGGGACACAAGGGGAUAAAACCAGCAUUCAAGAACAGCUCACCUGAAAGCCACCCCCACCCCAGCUGCCCAUCCUUGCCACCUCACGUAGCAGUGCAUGGGCAAGGGGGCAGUUGGGAGCCCACAGCCUUAGCUCUGCUCUGUGCCUCGUCCCCUCAGCUGCCCCCGUGCCCCUUCUGGGCUUGUCUCCUCUUCUGUGGAGUAUGGGUGAUAUUUUGUUGUUUAGUCGCCUAGUUGUGUUCAGCACUUUGUGACCCCAUGGACUGUAGCCUGCCAGGCUCCUCUGUCCAUGGGCUUCUCUAGGCAAGAAUACUGGAGUGGGUUGCCAUUUCAUUCUCCAGGGGCUCUUCCCCACCCAGGGAUUGAAGCUAGGUUUCCUGGAUCGGCAGGC
Long non-coding RNA from Bos taurus (domestic cattle), 1202 nucleotides. NCBI's taxonomy places the organism in Eukaryota, Metazoa, Chordata, Mammalia, Artiodactyla, Bovidae. The record is from Ensembl.